UACGUAGGGGGCAAGCGUUGUCCGGAAUCAUUGGGCGUAAAGAGCUCGUAGGCGGUCUGUCGCGUCGGAUGUGAAAGCCCGGGGCUUAACCCCGGGUCUGCAUUCGAUACGGGCAGACUAGAGUGUGGUAGGGGAGAUCGGAAUUCCUGGUGUAGCGGUGAAAUGCGCAGAUAUCAGGAGGAACACCGGUGGCGAAGGCGGAUCUCUGGGCCAUUACUGACGCUGAGGAGCGAAAGCGUGGGGAGCGAACAGG
RNAcentral lists this ribosomal RNA (253 nucleotides) under uncultured bacterium. RNAcentral describes it as "partial 16S ribosomal RNA". It matches the Rfam family "Bacterial small subunit ribosomal RNA", at positions 524 to 776 of the family's 1533-position model. The record is from RNAcentral.